GCUUCGGUGGCAUAGUGGUCAGAUCGUCCACCUCAGAUGCGGUAGGUCGCGGAUUUGAACCACGGCCGAGGCA
Potamilus streckersoni is the source of this 73-nucleotide non-coding RNA. NCBI's taxonomy places the organism in Eukaryota, Metazoa, Mollusca, Bivalvia, Unionida, Unionidae. The record is from the annotation of a GenBank genome assembly.